UACGGAGGAUGCAAGCGUUAUCCGGAAUGAUUGGGCGUAAAGCGUCCGCAGGUGGCUGUGUAAGUCUGCUGUUAAAGAGUGAGGCUCAACCUCAUAAAGGCAGUGGAAACUACAUGGCUAGAGUGCGUUCGGGGCAGAGGGAAUUCCUGGUGUAGCGGUGAAAUGCGUAGAGAUCAGGAAGAACACCGGUGGCGAAAGCGCUCUGCUAGGCCGCAACCGACACUGAGGGACGAAAGCUAGGGGAGCGAAUGGG
This 253-nucleotide ribosomal RNA is filed under the name uncultured bacterium. Its description in RNAcentral is "partial 16S ribosomal RNA". It matches the Rfam family "Bacterial small subunit ribosomal RNA", at positions 524 to 776 of the family's 1533-position model. The record is from RNAcentral.